Molecule: long non-coding RNA, 383 nt
Organism: Hemicordylus capensis (graceful crag lizard)
Lineage: Eukaryota; Metazoa; Chordata; Lepidosauria; Squamata; Cordylidae
Exons: 3
Source: RefSeq, a predicted model, not a curated record
AGAUACUGCAGUUUAUUUGCUGCUUUUCUCUGCCUUCUUUGCUGCCAACUAACAGGCUCCAAAAGUAUCAAGGCUCACCAGUUCAUAACCAGCCAGAGGAGCCACUGCCAUCAGAGGAGGUCACCGCUCACCAGGCAGCACAAGAAGAGGAGCCUGCACCUGCACUGAGAAUGUGGACCACUUGCAGCUUGCAAGGAAAGGACCUUGCCUCUCACCAUGCAGAGAGCUGCCAGGUCACUUGCUCCUUGCUCUGAGAACUGGACCACAACAAGGAACAGAGAUGGGAGGAAGACAGGAGGGUCUUCCAGCAUGCAAGGAGGACUGGCCCAAAAACAAGAGGUACGACAGCACCUGGCAGUCCAUGGAAGACGUCUAAGAGUGGG